RNAcentral lists this transfer RNA (59 nucleotides) under Cyclosa argenteoalba. RNAcentral describes it as "tRNA-Val". The record is from RNAcentral. Lineage: Eukaryota; Metazoa; Arthropoda; Arachnida; Araneae; Araneidae.
AAUUUUAAAGCUUUUUAGCAUUUCACUUACACUGAAAGGACCUUAUUUAACUUAAAUUA